RNAcentral lists this unclassified non-coding RNA (253 nucleotides) under uncultured Alphaproteobacteria bacterium. RNAcentral describes it as "contains 16S-23S intergenic spacer region". It matches the Rfam family "Bacterial small subunit ribosomal RNA", at positions 524 to 776 of the family's 1533-position model. Lineage: Bacteria; Pseudomonadati; Pseudomonadota; Alphaproteobacteria. The record is from RNAcentral.
UACGGAGGGGGCGAGCGUUGUUCGGAAUUACUGGGCGUAAAGGGCGCGUAGGCGGUGACGUUAGUCGGGCGUGAAAGCCCCGGGCUCAACCUGGGAUGUGCGUUCGAUACUGCGUUGCUGGAGAGCGGAAGAGGGUAGUGGAAUUCCCAGUGUAGAGGUGAAAUUCGUAGAUAUUGGGAAGAACACCAGUGGCGAAGGCGGCUACCUGGUCCGUUUCUGACGCUGAGGCGCGAAAGCGUGGGGAGCAAACAGG